UCUUAAAAUUAAUUAUAUUUGAUUAUCGUUUGACCAUUCUGAAGUUUAUCAGUAGACUAUCAUAUUUCGAAUGCGAAAUGUUGUCAAUAACGCGGUGUCUAACUCGCUAUUAGUGAUAAGCUGCUGUGUAGCUUAGCUUAGCUUAUAGCUAAUGUUAAAGGUUUGAAAGAUAGCACUGUUAGGCUGUUAUAUCGAAUUAGUACACCCGAUUGUUUUGUUAAAUAUAUGUAUUGGUGUGUAUGUAUAUGUUAAUGAAAAAAGGUAGUGUCAGAAAAUCUGUUUUUUAAAUGUAGCGUGAAAGUUAACCAUUUAUUGACUGUUUAGAGGUUGUAAGGCUUUUACCUAACUGUAUUUAGUAUUAAUGAUGCUGCAUUCUUUCCUCAGAAGCUAAAGUUUUUCAAAGACAUUUGUAGGGAGGACUUUGCAGCUAAUGGUAAGUCAUUUUAAACUCUUAAGAUAUAAUAAUUCAUUCGUAGUAGUAAAUCAAGCUUCAGUUUAGAUAACGUUAUAUACAUAUUGAGGCGGUUUCCCGGACAGGGAUUAGACUACUCCUAGACUAAAAUAAAUGUAAGAGCUGUCCAAACUGAAAACAACUUGCACUGACAUAUCUUAAAAUACACCAGUGUCCUUUGUUUUGCCUCAAAAUGCACACAGGUAAUGUUUUUAUUAAGGCAUGUUUUUUGAAACUAGUUAUAUUUCUUAAUUAAACUAAGGCCUAGUCCUGUUUUAAGCUAAUCCCUUUCCAGGAAACCACCCAAUUGUCUGCUUGUUGCAUUUUCUUUCUGACAAGUUUUACAUUUAAAUUUAAUACAAUAAAAUCUUUCUUUAGGAGCUGAAGUAUUUUAUGUAAGGAGGAUUUUGCAGCCCAUAUAGAUUUCCUUAGGCUGAACCAAAACCUGCCAGACUAAAGUUGAUUUGGGAGAGAAAGACGUUGUAAACUCACUCAUCUUGACAUUCUUCAAUGAGUAAUUGUUCAAUUUUUAGGCAAAUACUGUACACUUUGAAUGGUGUGAAUAAAACUAUAUUUUAAAUAUAUUUAAAAUGAA
Molecule: non-coding RNA, 1046 nt
Organism: Paramisgurnus dabryanus
Lineage: Eukaryota; Metazoa; Chordata; Actinopteri; Cypriniformes; Cobitidae
Source: RefSeq, a predicted model, not a curated record